GACGAACGCUGGCGGCGUGCUUAACACAUGCAAGUCGAACGAUGAAGCCUAGCUUGCUAGGUGGAUUAGUGGCGAACGGGUGAGUAAUACGCGAGUGACCUACCUUUGACUCUGGGAUAAGCCUGGGAAACAGGGUCUAAUACCGGAUACGACCAAUCUCCGCAUGGGGUGUUGGUGGGAAGGGUUCUGGAGUGGUUUUAGAUGGGCUCACGGCCUAUCAGCUUGUUGGUGAGGUAGUGGCUUACCAAGGCGACGACGGGUAGCCGGCCUGAGAGGGUGACCGGCCACACUGGGACUGAGACACGGCCCAGACUCCUACGGGAGGCAGCAGUGGGGAAUAUUGCACAAUGGGCGGAAGCCUGAUGCAGCGACGCCGCGUGAGGGAUGACGGCCUUCGGGUUGUAAACCUCUGUUAGCAUCGAAGAAGCGAAAGUGACGGUAGGUGCAGAGAAAGCGCCGGCUAACUACGUG
Molecule: ribosomal RNA, 471 nt
Filed under: uncultured bacterium
Lineage: Bacteria
Description: partial 16S ribosomal RNA
Rfam family: Bacterial small subunit ribosomal RNA
Source: RNAcentral